Long non-coding RNA from Amphiprion ocellaris (clown anemonefish), 891 nucleotides. RefSeq lists it as uncharacterized. The transcript is spliced from 2 exons. The record is from RefSeq and is a predicted model, not a curated record. Lineage: Eukaryota; Metazoa; Chordata; Actinopteri; Pomacentridae.
AGGAAAAAUGGGGGGCCGGCGAGCUCCUCCUCUUUCUCCCUCCAUAUCUCCUCUCUCUCUCUCGCUCCUUUUCUCCUUCUGUCUCUCGAAGGGGAAACUUGGUGGCCAGUUCUUUUGCCACGUCGAACCUCCAGCCGGUCCACCUUGCUCAUAACCGGAGCGCUUCUUCUUCUUCUUCUUCUUCUUCUUUUCUUGGCUCUAGGAAGUAGAAUAAGAACACCAUCAAGCAGCUGCUUCUGCCUCCUAAACAGUGCGGCAGCGUUGAAUGAAAGGAGAUUCUGUGGACAGAAGAGCAACAUCAGCCGAGAAGAAGAAGAAACAUCAGUCAAGAAGUCGCAGGCCGUUCUUCUCCUCCGGCUCGCUCCAUCUUCAGCCUGAUCAGCACUUUGUAGCCAGACUGCGAGGAGCUGGGAGUCUGGCGGUGAGUACCGGUUCAAUCUGGAAGCCUAAACUUUCUCCACAGCAUCCUCCAGCCGCCCAGCCCGCCUGCCCAGUGUUCAGACUACCUGUUCAGGAAGUAGUGGUUGUACAGUAGUCUGCACAUUGGUUAGGCUGGCCGGGGAAGCACGGGACAAAGCGUCCAAAAGGAAGAAAAGAAACUAAAAGCGCUGCAGAGGGCUUCCAGAGCACAUUUGUGGGAACAAACAGCAGCACCACCCCUCGUCCAUCUGGACCAGCCUGGGCACAAGCCUAAAUAAAGCACCCAAAGGCCCCACCACAGAGGCCUAGCCCUCGCCCAGCAUGGAUUUAUGAGUGACAGACGUCCUAAAAAUGUAGCCAUAAGGUUCAUUUUGCUCUUAAAGUGUUGUGUGCUGUCAUCUAACCGAGAUUUAAAUCUGCUGCUUGUGGAAUUCAUCGGAAAUAGUUGAAAUAAAGAUGCUUGGAUUCCAA